RNAcentral lists this ribosomal RNA (281 nucleotides) under uncultured bacterium. RNAcentral's name for it is "partial 16S ribosomal RNA". It matches the Rfam family "Bacterial small subunit ribosomal RNA", at positions 335 to 606 of the family's 1533-position model. The record is from RNAcentral.
ACUCCUACGGGAGGCAGCAGUGGGAAUAUUGGACAAUGGGGGCAACCCGUGCAUCCAGCCAUGCCGCGUGUAUGAAGAAGGACCCUCGGGUUGUAAAGUACUUUCAGUGGUGAGGAAGGUUGCGUGGUUAAUACCCACGUAAUUUGACGUUAGCCACAGAAGAAGCACCGGCUAACUCCGUGCCAGCAGCCGCGGUAAUACGGAGGGAGCGAGCGUUAAUCGGAAUUACUGGGCGUAAAGCGCACGUAGGCGGCUUUGUAAGUCGGAUGUGAAAGCCCGGC